RNAcentral lists this ribosomal RNA (253 nucleotides) under uncultured bacterium. RNAcentral describes it as "partial 16S ribosomal RNA". It matches the Rfam family "Bacterial small subunit ribosomal RNA", at positions 524 to 776 of the family's 1533-position model. The record is from RNAcentral.
UACGUAGGGUGCGAGCGUUAAUCGGAAUUACUGGGCGUAAAGCGUGCGCAGGCGGUUCGACAAGUCCGAUGUGAAAGCCCCGGGCUCAACCUGGGAAUGGCAUUGGAAACUGGCGAGCUUGAGUGUGGCAGAGGGGGGUGGAAUUCCACGUGUAGCAGUGAAAUGCGUAGAGAUGUGGAGGAACACCAAUGGCGAAGGCAGCCCCCUGGGUCGAUACUGACGCUCAUGCACGAAAGCGUGGGUAGCAAACAGG